This 28-nucleotide non-coding RNA is filed under the name Mus musculus (house mouse). The record is from RNAcentral. Lineage: Eukaryota; Metazoa; Chordata; Mammalia; Rodentia; Muridae.
UGUUGGGCCUUAGAAAAACCACAUUGUU